Molecule: long non-coding RNA, 3858 nt
Filed under: Nicotiana tabacum (common tobacco)
Lineage: Eukaryota; Viridiplantae; Streptophyta; Magnoliopsida; Solanales; Solanaceae
Description: long non-coding RNA (NTAB_LNC018524)
Source: RNAcentral
GGGUUGCCUAUUGGACUGAAGGCAACAACCUCACUGCGGUCCGAAGUCGACAACAUUGGGAUCUGCACAAAAGAGUGUAGUGUAUAGUAUCAGCACAACUGACCCCAUGUGUUGGUAAGUGCCUAGCCUAACCUCGGCGAAGUAGUGACGAGGCUAGGACCAGACUACCAAAUAAAUCUGUGAAGUUAAAUCAUACACAUCGAAAAGAUAAAAGCAGAUAAUUACAGUUAAAGAUGGGAGGGGGAAAACAUGUUUCAGGGAAUAACAGAUAACAACAGAAUAUCGAGAGGAAUAUAAAGAAACCAAAAUCCAAUUACUACCAAGGAUAAGGAAAACAAAUGCAGAAUUCACUUUCAUUUCACAUCCUGUUGCAGGCGUGCAACCCGAUCCCAUUUCAUGUAUCUCGUUGCAGGCGUGUAACCCGCUCCCAUUUCAUGUAUCUCAUUGCAGGCGUGCAACCCGCUCCCAUUUCAUAUAUCUGUUGCAGGCGUGUAACCCGCUCCCAUUUCAUAUAUCUCGUUGCAGGCGUGCAACCCGCUCCCAUUUCAUAUAUCUCGUUGCAGGCGUGUAACCUGCUCCCAUUUCAUAUAUUUCCAUGGCGGCAUGCCACCCAAUCCUAGUUACAAAUCAACAACAACCACAAAAGAAUCCCGGUAAUGGAACAAGAGAAAUAUAACAACAUCCCGGCAAGGGCACAAUAAUAUUUCAACAACAUCCCGGCAAGGGAACAAUAAUAUCAGAAUAAACAUCCCACCAAGGAAACAAUAAUAUGACAAUAACAUCCCGACAAGGUAACAAUAAUGACAAUAGCAUGUGAAGCGCAAUAAACCACAAUGGAGUCAUAACAACCAUAAUACAAGACUCACGGGCAUGCUUGACACCGACGUAUAGAUACUCGUCACCAUGCCUAUACGUCAUACUCCACAAUUAACACAUAGCAAAUAAGACACAACUCCUAAUCCCUCAAUCUAAGGUUAGACCAAACACUUACCUCGAUGCCACGAACACAAUUCAAGUCUCUACUAUCGCUUUUCCUCUUGAUUUCACCACCAAUUCGCUCAUAUCUAGCCACAAGUUACUUAAUUACAUCAAUAAACGCGACAUGAAUCAAUUCUAAUGCAUGAAAAUAAGUUUUCCAAAGUUUUACCCAAAAAGUCAAAAAUCGCCCUCGGGCCUACAUGGUCAAAACCCGAGGUUCGAACUAAAACCCGAUUACCCAUUCCCUCACGAACCCAAUUAUAUAAUUUAUUUUGAAAUCGGACCUCAAAGCGAGUGUCCAAAUUCCCAAUUUUAAAAAACCUAGGUUCUACCGAAAACACCCAAUUUCCCCCAUGAAAAUCAUUGAUUUUGAGUUAAAAUCAUGUGAAAAGAUGUUAAUGAUUUAAGAAAAGAGUUAAAAUUGAUUACAAUCGAUUUGGAGAAGAAGUUGCCUUUGAAAAAUCAUCCUAGGGUGUUUUGGUUUUGAAAGAGUGUGAAAAAUGGCUGAAAUGCAUCUAAGUUAUGAACUUACAAGUCUCUGAUGUCGCAAUUGCGACCAGGGUUGGCAAUUGCGAACCCCUCAGAAAAUUGGACUUUCACAUUUGCGAUCCACUCAGUUUUCCAGUCAUCAUCACAUUUGCGAGAGACCGUUCGAAAAUGCGAAAUCGCAUUUGCAAGAAAAUAAUCGCAUUUGCAACUUUGGCUGCCAGGUCCAUUCUUUGCAUUUGCGAGCCAGGCUUCACAUUUGCGAAGCCUGCAGACCUGAUCAUACCAGCUGAAAACCUACAAUUUUCCUAAGUCCAAAUUCUACCCCGUGGCCUAUCCAAAACUCACCCGAGCCCUCGGGGCUCCAAACUAAACAUGUACACCAACCUAAAAACUUCAUACGGACUUGCUCGUGCAUUCAAAUCACCAAAAUAACAUCAACAAUUAUGAAUUUAGCAUCAAAAUCAUGAAAUUUCUUAAGAACAUCAAAUUUCCCAAUUUUCUCAAAUAAGGUCCGAUUCAUAUCAUUUCAAGUCCUUUUCUUACCAAAUUUCACAGACUUAUCUUAAAUCACAUAUAAGACAUAUACCGGGUGUUGGAACUAAAAUACGGGCUCGAUACCAUCAAGUUUAAACACAUUUUAUUUCCAAAACUCAUAAAUAAUUCCAGAAAAUAAAUUUCUUUAAAAAUUUAUUUCUCGGGCUUGGGACCUCAGAAUUCGAUUCCGGGCAUACGCUCAAGUCCCAUAUUUUUCUACGGACCCUCUGGGACCGUCAAAUUACGGGUCCAGGUCUAUUUACCCAAAAUAUUGACCGAAGUCAACUUAAAUCCAUUUUAAAGUCAAGAAUCAUCAUUUUUCAUAGAUUUUCACAUAAUGGCUUUCCGGCUACGCGCCCGGACUGCGAACACAAAUCGAGGUGAUGCUGAAAGAGGUUUUUAAUACCUCAGAAUACAUAAUUUACUUUUAAAACAAGUGAUGACCCAAAAGGUCAUCACAACCAAGAUACCUGUGCACUAAAUUAUUCAAAUUAACUCUCAAAAUCUAUGUAACGAACUAGGAAUACAACAACAAUUAAGAACAAAUAUGCAAGUUAAUAGUUGAAUUCCAACCCAUUAAAUAAAUCACUCUUAUAUAAGAUAUAGUCUAAAUUGUUCCUCUAGUAACAUUGACCCACUUAAAUCUAUUAAAUAAUAAAUAAUUACUGAAAAAGUUGAAAAAUUCAGAUUUUAGCUCAAGAAUAUUUAUGCUAAUUUCGUACUAUAGCUAUAAAGGAACAGUGAGUGCGAUGAUAUUUGAAUCCCUUGAUUUAAUAUGAUAGUCAGCAUCAUCUAUAUUCUAUUCCUAAUUAUAGGAAAAAUUGGCACUUAAUUUAUUGUGUGGUUGUCUUAUUCUUCAAAAUAUCGUUCCUAAGAACUUAGUUAAAGUCAACUAAAAUGUGCAUUACAGAACACAUAUAAAAGACCAAAAAAGGAAAUAAGAGCAUUUACAAGAAGACAAAGCUAAAAUAGUGGACUAGUCGUAAUCAAGAAAUUAUAAUGUGGAGUUAGGAAUAAUUUGCCAUGUCCUAUAUAUUAUCAUAGAAGAUCAAAGCAUAAAACCAACAGAGUCAUCAUCCAAGCAGCGCAUAGUUAAUUCAAGCAAAUUUGCAGCGGGGUACUUCAUGCGACAAUUUCGUCAUAAUAACUCAGACCCAUAUCUAAGCACAACACCAACAAAUAUGUAAAACAGAGACUUGGAAUAAGAUAUUGAACCUUUAGCAACAACAAAUUUACUUUAUUAGCAAACUCCUCCAAUGAAGUUACAAAAGAUGAAAUCAACGCCAAAUAAGCUCAAGCAAUGGAGUUCAAACAGAAACGUAGCGACACGGGAACCUCAAAUGCAACCUCCAAUGAAACCUCUGAUUUUUUGACUCACUCGACUACUCUUGGCCUGUUUUGAACUAUAAAUAGAAAUUCAAGGCAUGGUUUGCUGGCGAGUUUUUUUAAAGUUGUUUCAGUUGGGCUUUUGAGAUAAAAAUAGUGGUUUUGAAGGCUGAUUAAAGUAAUGCGAUGGCUAUUUUUUACCGUGAAGACGGAGUCCAGCUGCUUCAUUUUUUGGGGGGAUUAUAUAUGUCGUCUUUUGCUUUUUUGUGUGUGUUUCUUGCCGUUAUGUUGGAUAAUGAGGGGGGGAUUCCAUGGCUGGGUUUUCAAUUAAGGGGGGGGGGGGGGAGAUGACUGAUUUUUAUGUUGUUGAAGAAGUGAUCUGAAGGCUGCUCCUUUCUUCUCUUUUGUGUGUUGCGGCUGUGUGUAUGUAAUCCUUAGGGGGUGAGUAGCUCUUGUCUAAGCCCAGAAAGAAUUGAGAGGGAAUGGAGGAAACAAUUGAUUUGUGUUCUCUUCUCUAGGUUAGGUCUUGUG